Molecule: ribosomal RNA, 439 nt
Filed under: uncultured Pseudorhodobacter sp.
Lineage: Bacteria; Pseudomonadati; Pseudomonadota; Alphaproteobacteria; Rhodobacterales; Paracoccaceae
Description: bacterial SSU rRNA
Rfam family: Bacterial small subunit ribosomal RNA
Source: RNAcentral
AGAGUUUGAUCCUGGCUCAGAAUGAACGCUGGCGGCAGGCCUAACACAUGCAAGUCGAACGGGUACCUUCGGGUACUAGUGGCGGACGGGUGAGUAACGCGUGGGAAUAUGCCCCUCGGUUCGGAAUAGCCUCGGGAAACUGGGAGUAAUACCGGAUACGGUCUACGGACGAAAGAUUUAUCGCCGAGGGAUUAGCCCGCGUUGGAUUAGGUAGUUGGUGGGGUAAUGGCCUACCAAGCCGACGAUCCAUAGCUGGUUUGAGAGGAUGAUCAGCCACACUGGGACUGAGACACGGCCCAGACUCCUACGGGAGGCAGCAGUGGGGAAUCUUAGACAAUGGGGGAAACCCUGAUCUAGCCAUGCCGCGUGAUCGAUGAAGGCCUUAGGGUUGUAAAGAUCUUUCAGAUGGGAAGAUAAUGACGGUACCAUCAGAAGAGCC